Long non-coding RNA from Sinocyclocheilus rhinocerous, 195 nucleotides. RefSeq lists it as uncharacterized. Lineage: Eukaryota; Metazoa; Chordata; Actinopteri; Cypriniformes; Cyprinidae. The transcript is spliced from 3 exons. The record is from RefSeq and is a predicted model, not a curated record.
CUCAGGUGCAGUGUAACCCCAAUGAAAAUAAAACGCAGGCCGACUGCCAACUUGGAAAUCCCUUUAAAAGAUACUCGGAGGUUUCAUUCUUCCUGAUACUUAGCGCAGAAAGGCUUUCCUUGAGAGUAACAAGCGCCAAUGUGACUAUGUCCCUUAAAACGAUCAGCAUUCAAGAUAUUCCAGUAGUCGUUGCAG